This is a long non-coding RNA of Mercenaria mercenaria, 850 nucleotides long. RefSeq lists it as uncharacterized. NCBI's taxonomy places the organism in Eukaryota, Metazoa, Mollusca, Bivalvia, Venerida, Veneridae. The transcript is spliced from 3 exons. The record is from RefSeq and is a predicted model, not a curated record.
UACUUGUAAUAUAUAAAAUUCCAUAACGAAAAUUACUUGAGAAGUGAUAUGACGUAAUCAUAUCGUAUAUCGUAAGUAAACACUUUACAUUAACGUUAAGUUCAGUCUUGUAAAGCUAUAAAUGUAUAUUAUUCCAUAUACUCAACAAAUAAACUUUGAAAUAAUUUGACCAGAAGACAUUGCUUUAUAAGACUAAUACAUGCAACUUUCACAUGAAGAAACAAAGCAAUAAUGUUGACGUUAUGAACUGAUAUUUGCCCUAAAAUGGACCCUAUACUAAAUUAUAACCAAACUGCAGAUUAUAACAGCUGUCUGUGUCACAAAUCAAUCUUAUCUACGUCGCAUGCCCUGAACAUGCUCUCAACACUGUCUUUCUUACUUUACUGAUAUAAACACGAAACGUUUGAAAUAGCAAAGAAAAUGUCUCAUAUUUUUGUCUGUCUGUUUCAGAUUGCAUUUUCUUUCUGUUUCAUGUUACCUGUUUAUGGAACAGAUGAAACUGAACAAAGACUUUCUGAGUUGGAAAAAGUAAUAAAAACUCAAAAAAGUCAGUUGGAUAUUAUUCGUUCAGAAAAAUCUGCUGAGAUAGAUCAGCUCAAAGAAAGAAUUCUUAUCCUUGAAGCCAAAGAAGGAAUGCGUAAAAGUGUUAAUGGAGAAAUGGACAAAUGGAAUGAUGUUAAAGAUGACGCUAAUGUCAAAAAAAGAAGAAGUUUCCUAUCAGCAACAAAUAUUGCAUUCCAUGUACAUCUAAGUGGCGACCGAUGUUAUAGUACUCAUUAAACAUUUGUAUUCGAUGUUGAGGAAACGGACAACGGAAAUAACUACGACGUGAGCGAUGGCAAUUUUGACG